RNAcentral lists this ribosomal RNA (557 nucleotides) under Klebsiella pneumoniae. RNAcentral describes it as "bacterial LSU rRNA". It matches the Rfam family "Bacterial large subunit ribosomal RNA", at positions 1160 to 1718 of the family's 2925-position model. Lineage: Bacteria; Pseudomonadati; Pseudomonadota; Gammaproteobacteria; Enterobacterales; Enterobacteriaceae. The record is from RNAcentral.
UGCGCGGAAGAUGUAACGGGGCUAAACCAUGCACCGAAGCUGCGGCAGCGACACUAUGUGUUGUUGGGUAGGGGAGCGUUCUGUAAGCCUGCGAAGGUGACCUGUGAGGGUUGCUGGAGGUAUCAGAAGUGCGAAUGCUGACAUAAGUAACGAUAAAGCGGGUGAAAAGCCCGCUCGCCGGAAGACCAAGGGUUCCUGUCCAACGUUAAUCGGGGCAGGGUGAGUCGACCCCUAAGGCGAGGCCGAAAGGCGUAGUCGAUGGGAAACAGGUUAAUAUUCCUGUACUUGGUGUUACUGCGAAGGGGGGGACGGAGAAGGCUAUGUUAGCCGGGCGACGGUUGUCCCGGUUUAAGCAUGUAGGCUGGUUAUCCAGGCAAAUCCGGAUAAUCAAGGCUGAGGUGUGAUGACGAGGCACUACGGUGCUGAAGUAACAAAUGCCCUGCUUCCAGGAAAAGCCUCUAAGCAUCAGGUAACAUCAAAUCGUACCCCAAACCGACACAGGUGGUCAGGUAGAGAAUACCAAGGCGCUUGAGAGAACUCGGGUGAAGGAACUAGGC